RNAcentral lists this ribosomal RNA (508 nucleotides) under uncultured bacterium. Its description in RNAcentral is "bacterial SSU rRNA". It matches the Rfam family "Bacterial small subunit ribosomal RNA", at positions 80 to 587 of the family's 1533-position model. The record is from RNAcentral.
UUUCUUUGCUGGCGACCGGCGCACGGGUGAGUAACACGUAUCCAACCUGCCCUUUACUCGGGGAUAGCCUUUCGAAAGAAAGAUUAAUACCCGAUGGCAUAAUGAUUCCGCAUGGUUUCAUUAUUAAAGGAUUCCGGUAAAGGAUGGGGAUGCGUUCCAUUAGGUUGUUGGUGAGGUAACGGCUCACCAAGCCUUCGAUGGAUAGGGGUUCUGAGAGGAAGGUCCCCCACAUUGGAACUGAGACACGGUCCAAACUCCUACGGGAGGCAGCAGUGAGGAAUAUUGGUCAAUGGGCGCUAGCCUGAACCAGCCAAGUAGCGUGAAGGAUGAAGGCUCUACGGGUCGUAAACUUCUUUUAUAUAAGAAUAAAGUGCAGUAUGUAUACUGGUUUGUAUGUAUUAUAUGAAUAAGGAUCGGCUAACUCCGUGCCAGCAGCCGCGGUAAUACGGAGGAUCCGAGCGUUAUCCGGAUUUAUUGGGUUUAAAGGGAGCGUAAGUGGACUGGUAAG